GGGGUGGGACCGGACCACCGGAUACACAGAUUGGACCGUGUUUUUUUGGGUGGUGCCUUUUUUUUGGUACAAUUUCAUAUUUUGUUUUUUUCAGAGGUUUAAACGUUAACACGGGACGCAGAAAGGACGGUGCUGUCGGGGGGUGAACUUGCGGGGCUUCGCGUCUCGUCGAAACCUCUGGAACUGUCAGAAAAAAAAAUUGAUUGAGAGUUAAGGUGUGGCUGAGGGUUUUCUGUGAGGCUUCUGCGCUGAAAAAAUGUCACUAAACCGACUGUUUGUGUUCCGAGGCUCCUACAUCUACCGUGGCUUCACCGAUUUUGUCCAGUCAUUUUCAUUAAGGAAGAUAUUACAUAACAAAUGUAUUGCCAUCUUGAUGCGCGCACCUUUUUUUUUUUUUCCUUCUUUCCCCCCCUUGCCUAAAUCUCCCCCCGCAGUAGAUUAAUUGGACUAUUGCGCAGUUGAGAAGUAGUAAUUUCCACUCGCUUGCCAGGUCGUUUUGGUUUCAUAAGUCUGUGAAAUGUAACGGACGUGGCAACUUUACAGUAGCCAGCCCCGCUGAAUGCCACAGGCAAACUGGGCGUGGGGUGGAGGUGGAGGGGGGGGGAAAGAGAAACGGUCCGAACAGAGUGUAAUAAUCCUCAAAUCUGCCCCAAGCACGGCACAAAUUGCGCAUAUUUGUCACGGUGUGUCCGCACUGACAAGCGCCUCGGUGGAGCCGCCGGAUUGACCCGAACCAAAGUAAGUGCGACUGUCAAAUACAUUUUUGCAAACUUUUCUAGCGGAGGUGACAUUUAAAGGCUUACAGGAGAGGGCGUGCAGGAGGGUUACAUUCAACGCGUUUCAUCCCUUGUUUUUUUUUUGUUUUGUUUCAGUACAAAUUGAGCACUCAAGGUUGGUGUGUCGGUCGAUCGAGGCCUUGUAUAAAAAUCUUUAUUUUGGCACAGAAUAUACUGGGAUGGAGCGGGUGUGUCUCCACAGGGGGAAACGUUUGGUCGCUCAAUGAAUCUAAAUCCAGUUACAGGAAAAGAAGGAUAUGAGUUGCUCUGUAUUACAGUAGUGCUGCUUGACUUGUCAAAGAAUAUCGAGGAGUCAUUCCUCACUCUUCUGAUGCCUUUAUGGCACAAUAACUCGAUCAUAAUUGAGUGCACAGGACUGGCUGACCCUGUGUAGUCUAAUUAAGAUAAGCUUUAAGUCGAGAGGAAAGCAGAUAGAGUGAAUUCCUCAAGGCCCCACCCUUUGCAGCGCAACAUGGAUGUGGAGAGUUGCCCCCACCUCUUCUCUCUCUCCCUCCCUCUCUCCCCCUCCGCGUCAUUCAUUUCCCCUUUCAAGCUUGUCUUAUGCUGUUUUUUCCCCCCUCAGUAUCUCCAGGUGCCCACAGUAGAUCUUCUUGCCUUAUAACCAACUUCAGAUCGUGGCAUCAGGAUCUUCCUCCAGGACUCUGCAGAAGGGGCCUCACAGAUGGAGGGCCAGCAGUAAGAAGCGGUGGGCCUCUCAGCAGACCGGCUGGAAUGUGGACCAUAUGUAGCAGGCAUCCCAGGAAUGUAACUCGGCCUCGCUGAACUGACCAACCUAAAGACACAGUGAGCAGGAGCAGGAUGAGGAGGACAAAAUGAAGGUAGCGCGAGGAGGAUGGAAACGAAAGCUCGCGAGUCAGAAGAUGAGAACUCGAGGAAGCGCUCAAACAGAUGGAGAGCAAUGGACAGACUCAAAAAAUGCAAAGUACCACAAAUGGGUAGAUGCAUGCUCCAAAAAAUGUGGUACAAAUGAUUUAUUAGGAUGAAGUCUACAAAGUCAUCUUCAUCGGGAUACUGCAGACAGAAAAAUUUGUGGUUUGUAUAAAAUGGCUUCUCUUACAUUAAA
This is a long non-coding RNA of Stegastes partitus (bicolor damselfish), 1860 nucleotides long. RefSeq lists it as uncharacterized. The record is from RefSeq and is a predicted model, not a curated record. Lineage: Eukaryota; Metazoa; Chordata; Actinopteri; Pomacentridae. The transcript is spliced from 2 exons.